AAAGGGUGAGGAGAAAGAAGGAGGGGGUUUUGCGCCCUUUAGUGCGGAAGGUUGCGCAUUAUGCAAUCCUCCUUGGGUGUUCGGCCGCAAGGCUUAAACUCAAAGGAAUUGACGGGGGCCCGCACUAGCGGUGGAUCAUGUGGUUUAAUUUGAAGCAACGCGAAGAACCUUAUCAGGUUUUGACAUCCUCUGAAAACCCUAGAGAUAGGGCUUCUCCUUCGGGAGCAGAAUGACAGGUGGUGCAUGGUUGUGGUCAGCUAGUGUUGUGAGAUGUUGGGUUAAGUCCCGCAACGAGCGCAACCCUUGAUUUUAGUUGCCAUCAUUAAGUUGGGCACUUUAAGGUGACUGCCGGUGACAAACCGGAGGAAGGUGGGGAAGACGUCAAAUCAUCAUGCCCCUUAUGACCUGGGGUACACACGUGCUACAAUGGACGGUACAAAGAGCUGCAAGACCGCGAGGUGGAGCUAAUCUCAUAAAACCGUUCUCAGUUCGGAUUGUAGGCUGCAAUUCGCCUACAUGAAGCUGGAAUCGUUAGUAAUCGCGGAUCAGCAUGCCGCGGUGAAUACGUUCCCGGGCCUUGUACACACCGCCCGUCCCACCCCGAGAGUUUGUAACCCCCGAAGUCGGUGGGGUAACCUUUUUGGAGCCAGCCGCCUAAGGUGGGACAGAUGAUUGGGGUGAAGUUGUAACAAAGUA
This 696-nucleotide ribosomal RNA is filed under the name Bacillus subtilis. RNAcentral's name for it is "bacterial SSU rRNA". The stretch from base 74 to 696 matches the Rfam family "Bacterial small subunit ribosomal RNA", at positions 874 to 1498 of the family's 1533-position model. Lineage: Bacteria; Bacillati; Bacillota; Bacilli; Caryophanales; Bacillaceae. The record is from RNAcentral.